CCUACGGGUGGCAGCAGUCGAGAAUCAUUCACAAUGGGGGAAACCCUGAUGGUGCGACGCCGCGUGGGGGAAUGAAGGUCUUCGGAUUGUAAACCCCUGUCAUGUGGGAGCAAAUUAAAAAGAUAGUACCACACGAGGAAGAGACGGCUAACUCUGUGCCAGCAGCCGCGGUAAUACAGAGGUCUCAAGCGUUGUUCGGAAUCACUGGGCGUAAAGCGUGCGUAGGCUGUUGCGUAAGUCGUGUGUGAAAGGCGCGGGCUCAACCCGCGGACGGCACAUGAUACUGCGAGACUAGAGUAAUGGAGGGGGAACCGGAAUUCUCGGUGUAGCAGUGAAAUGCGUAGAUAUCGAGAGGAACACUCGUGGCGAAGGCGGGUUCCUGGACAUUAACUGACGCUGAGGCACGAAGGCCAGGGGAGCGAAAGGGAUUAGAUACCCCGGUAGUC
Molecule: ribosomal RNA, 446 nt
Filed under: uncultured bacterium
Lineage: Bacteria
Description: partial 16S ribosomal RNA
Rfam family: Bacterial small subunit ribosomal RNA
Source: RNAcentral